This 735-nucleotide ribosomal RNA is filed under the name uncultured Chloroflexota bacterium. Its description in RNAcentral is "bacterial SSU rRNA". It matches the Rfam family "Bacterial small subunit ribosomal RNA", at positions 103 to 855 of the family's 1533-position model. Lineage: Bacteria; Bacillati; Chloroflexota. The record is from RNAcentral.
CGGGUGAGUAAUACGUAGGUGACCUGCCUUGAAGUGGGGGAUAACGACUGGAAACGGUUGCUAAUACCGCAUGAGACCAAUUCGCUGGGAAGUGGGAUGGUGAAAACUCUGGUGCUUCAAGAGGGGCCUGCGGCCGAUUAGCUAGUUGGCGGGGUAAGAGCCCACCAAGGCGACGAUCGGUAGCUGGUCUGAGAGGACGAUCAGCCACACGGGAACUGAGACACGGUCCCGACUCCUACGGGGGGCAGCAGUGAGGAAUAUUGCGCAAUGGGCGAAAGCCUGACGCAGCAACGCCGCGUGAGGGACGAAGGCCUUCGGGUCGUAAACCUCUUUUCUGGGGAAAGAGCAAGGACGGUACCUCAGGAAUAAGUCUCGGCUAACUACGUGCCAGCAGCCGCGGUAAAACGUAGGAGGCGAGCGUUAUCCGGACUUACUGGGCGUAAAGCGCACGCAGGCGGCUUCGUUAGUCGGGUGUGAAAGCUCCUAGCUUAACUGGGAGAGGCCAUUCGAUACUGCGAGGCUUGAGGUUGGGAGAGGGGUGUGGAAUUCCCGGUGUAGUGGUGGAAUGCGUAGAUAUCGGGAGGAACACCUGUGGCGAAAGCGGCACCCUGGCCCACACCUGACGCUGAGGUGCGAAAGCGUGGGGAGUAAACAGGAUUAGAUACCCUGGUAAUCCACGCUGUAAACGAUGUCAACUGGGUGUCGGUAGCUUUACGCUAUCGGUGCCGAAGCAAA